UCACUAGGCGGAGCCUCGUCGCACCCUGAACCCCUUUGUGAACUUAUACCUAUCUGUUGCCUCGGCGCAGGCCGGCUUCUUCACUGAAGCCCCCUGGAGACAGGGAGCAGCCCGCCGGCGGCCAACUAAACUCUUGUUUCUACAGUGAAUCUCUGAGUAAAAAACAUAAAUGAAUCAAAACUUUCAACAACGGAUCUCUUGGUUCUGGCAUCGAUGAAGAACGCAGCGAAAUGCGAUAAGUAAUGUGAAUUGCAGAAUUCAGUGAAUCAUCGAAUCUUUGAACGCACAUUGCGCCCUCUGGUAUUCCGGAGGGCAUGCCUGUUCGAGCGUCAUUUCAACCCUCAAGCCUGGCUUGGUGAUGGGGCACUGCCUGUAAAAGGGCAGGCCCUGAAAUCUAGUGGCGAGCUCGCCAGGACCCCGAGCGUAGUAGUUAUAUCUCGCUUUGGAAGGCCCUGGCGGUGCCCUGCCGUUAAACCCCCAACUUCUGAAAAUUUGACCUCGGAUCAGGUAGGAAUACCCGCUGAACUUAAGCAUAUCAUUUAAGCGGAGGAGUAGGUGAACGCGCCGGAGCACAAACUUGCAAAGGAAACAAUCGUUGCGGGCGGCCUUCCGCACCUGAACAGGGGGAGCCGGCCUAAUUUUUUCAUGUAAUCGAAUAAAAAUAAAUAACAAUUACGAUCUGGGUCUGCUAUA
This 693-nucleotide ribosomal RNA is filed under the name Diaporthe sp. B27-116. RNAcentral's name for it is "eukaryotic LSU rRNA". The stretch from base 179 to 332 matches the Rfam family "5.8S ribosomal RNA". The record is from RNAcentral. Lineage: Eukaryota; Fungi; Ascomycota; Sordariomycetes; Diaporthales; Diaporthaceae.